UUGACCUCAAAUCAGGUAGGACUACCCGCUGAACUUAAGCAUAUCAAUAAGCGGAGGAAAAGAAACUAACAAGGAUUCCCCUAGUAACUGCGAGUGAAGCGGGAAAAGCUCAAAUUUAAAAUCUGGCGGUCUUGCGGCCGUCCGAGUUGUAAUCUGGAGAAGCGUUUAUCCGCGUCGGACCGUGUACAAGUCUUCUGGAAGGGAGCGUCGUAGAGGGUGAGAAUCCCGUCUUUGACACGGACAACCGGUGCUUUUGUGAUGCGCUCU
This 267-nucleotide ribosomal RNA is filed under the name uncultured Piloderma. Its description in RNAcentral is "partial 28S ribosomal RNA". It matches the Rfam family "Eukaryotic large subunit ribosomal RNA", at positions 1 to 257 of the family's 3401-position model. The record is from RNAcentral. Lineage: Eukaryota; Fungi; Basidiomycota; Agaricomycetes; Atheliales; Atheliaceae.